GUACCGAGAUGACUAUAGAGAUAAAGGCUAUAGGAGGAGAAGUCGCAGCAGGAGUCGGGACAGAUAUGAGCGUGAAAAGUAUCGUGCUAGGGACAGAGACUAUCGUCGACGGAGCAGGAGUCGCAGUGUCAGUCCUGAUCACUCUAGAGGCCGGGGCAGAGGGCAUUAUGAUGAUGAGCGGAGGAGUAGCAGUCGAUCAGUGGAUA
RNAcentral lists this unclassified non-coding RNA (206 nucleotides) under Hevea brasiliensis (rubber tree). Lineage: Eukaryota; Viridiplantae; Streptophyta; Magnoliopsida; Malpighiales; Euphorbiaceae. The record is from RNAcentral.